CACGCAGGUGGCGAGAUAAGUUGGAUGUGAAAUUCCCGUGCUUAACAUGGGGACUGCAUCCAAAACUGUUGAACUGGAGUACUGUAGAGGGAGGUAGAAUUCCACGUGUAGCGGUGAAAUGCGUAGAGAUGUGGAAGAAUACCAGAGGCGAAAGGCGGCCUCCUGGACAGAUACUGACACUGAGGUGCGAAAGCGUGGGUAGCAAACA
RNAcentral lists this ribosomal RNA (208 nucleotides) under uncultured bacterium. RNAcentral describes it as "partial 16S ribosomal RNA". It matches the Rfam family "Bacterial small subunit ribosomal RNA", at positions 568 to 774 of the family's 1533-position model. The record is from RNAcentral.